GAUGAACGCUGGCGGCGUGCCUAAUACAUGCAAGUCGAGCGAACGGACGAGAAGCUUGCUUCUCUGAUGUUAGCGGCGGACGGGUGAGUAACACGUGGAUAACCUACCUAUAAGACUGGGAUAACUUCGGGAAACCGUAGCUAAUACCGGAUAAUAUUUUGAACCGCAUGGUUCAAAAGUGAAAGACGGUCUUGCUGUCACUUAUAGAUGGAUCCGCGCUACAUUAGCUAGUUGGUAAGGUAACGGCUUACCAAGGCAACGAUGCAUAGCCGACCUGAGAGGGUGAUCGGCCACACUGGAACUGAGACACGGUCCAGACUCCUACGGGAGGCAGCAGUAGGGAAUCUUCCGCAAUGGGCGAAAGCCUGACGGAGCAACGCCGCGUGAGUGAUGAAGGUCUUCGGAUCGUAAAACUCUGUUAUUAGGGAAGAACAUAUGUGUAAGUAACUGUGCACAUCUUGACGGUACCUAAUCAGAAAGCCACGGCCAACUACGUG
This 497-nucleotide ribosomal RNA is filed under the name uncultured bacterium. RNAcentral describes it as "partial 16S ribosomal RNA". It matches the Rfam family "Bacterial small subunit ribosomal RNA", at positions 28 to 507 of the family's 1533-position model. The record is from RNAcentral.